This 201-nucleotide long non-coding RNA is filed under the name Elaeis guineensis (African oil palm). Its description in RNAcentral is "long non-coding RNA (EGUI_LNC063569)". Lineage: Eukaryota; Viridiplantae; Streptophyta; Magnoliopsida; Arecales; Arecaceae. The record is from RNAcentral.
AGGCUGUCCGGUCAUAGAAGCAAGAAGGGUUUAAAGGUCCUCUCUUUUCAUUUGAUGAGGUACUCUUAUGAUGUGUAAGGGUGUCAUGUGAUUAGAUCCCAUGAAGAAGAAAGUGAAAGAAGAAAACUUACUUUCUUGCAAAAUCCUAGAUCUUGAAACCCUAGGUGUUGUUGUAUGUGAUGCAAGUUACGAAGAAGUUAG